CGACGAGAAAUUUCUUAUGGAAG
This 23-nucleotide small nuclear RNA is filed under the name Arabidopsis thaliana (thale cress). RNAcentral's name for it is "snRNA_09808". The record is from RNAcentral. Lineage: Eukaryota; Viridiplantae; Streptophyta; Magnoliopsida; Brassicales; Brassicaceae.